UCAGAGUCGUAUACUUUGGUCCAUCUCAGUGCUUUCGGGAUGCAUGGCGAACUUUGAGCUAUGGGACUCUGUCAUAAUGUCCCUCUUUAACUCACUGUCACCUGGAACACACACCCUGUCUUGGAAUCUGAGCAACCCAUCGGUGGAGACUCGAAAUUUUGAGUUAACUCCCUAUUCUGCAUCUUUCUUGAGGACAGCUAGGGUGGAAUGGGUGGACUGAGCUUUCCUUAUUCUUUGGAUUAACUCAGACUGAACAGUCAGAUGGCCCAAACAUGUGACUCUCCUCAAGUCCUAAAGUUGUACCUAUUGUGCAGCCCCUAUUUGUCUGCUUUCUGAAACCAUCAAAUGGGCUAAUGUACCUGCACUUUUCUUGCUGAGUGCGUCGACUACCACUUUGCCCUUACCCGAGUGAUACAAGAUGUCGCAAUCAUAGUCCUUGAGAAGUUUAUCCAUCUUCUCUGUGCAUGUUGAGAUCCUUUUGAGUGAAUAUGUGUUUCAAAUUCUUGUGAUCGGUAUAGAUCUAAAAGGUCUCCCCAUACAAAUAAUGGUGCCAAGUCUUUAAGAUGUGUAUGAUUGCGACAAGCUCUAGGUCAUGGGUGGGAUAGUUUUUUUCAUGACUCUUUAACUGUCUAGAUCCAUAGGCUAUGACCUUCCCAUGCUGCAUCAAAACACAACACAGACCUAGGUAGAAGGCAUCACUAUAAACUGUAUAUCUACCUGAUCCUCUCGGCAAGGCCAACACAGGUGCAGUAGUUAGCUGCUUCUUUAGUUUCGAAAAACUUCUUUUACAGUUCUCGUUCUACUCAAACUUGACAUUAUUAUUUGUGAGCCGAGUCAGAGGAGCAACUAAACUAGAAAACCCUUCCACAAACCUGUGGUAAUAACCCACCAUCCUUAGAAAACUACAAAUCUCCUUAACUGAUGUCAAUUUUUUCCAACCGAGCACUAUUUCAACCUUUUCGGGGUUCACUGACACUCCAUCCUUUGAUAUGAUGUGUCCUAGGAAGGUAGUAUGUUCAAACCAGAACCUGCAUUUACUCAACUUUGUAUACAACUUCUUUUCUCUGAGAACCUAUAAAACUUGAGCUAGAUGGUGAGCAUGUUCUUCUCUGCUUUUUGAAUAAACCAAGAUGUCAUCGAUGAGCACAAUAAUAAACUGAUCCAGACCCUGUUCAUCAAGUCUAUGAAGAUGGCUGGAGCGUUGGUUAGUCCAAAUAGCAUGAUUAGGAACUCAUAGUGUCCGUACUUGGUUCGAAAGGCUAUCUUGGGGAUGUUUCCUGUCUUGAUUUUUACCUGAUGGUAACUUGAAUGCAGGUCUAUUUUGGAGAAGACCUGGGCACCCUACAACUGAUCGAAGAGGUCAUCAAUCUUGGGGAGGGGAUACAUUUUCUUUAUUGUAACUCUGUUCAGACCUCUGUAAUUAGUACAUAACCUCAAUAUCCCAUCUCCCUUUCUGGCAAAGGUGACUCCAGCACCUCAAGGGGCUAUGUCAGAUAAACCCAUCAUCUUGCAAUUCAGUGAUUUGUUUCCUCAGUUCCUCUAUCCCAAUACGGCUCAUGCGGUAAGGAGCAACCGAAAUGGGCUGGGUGUCUGGCUGAAGGUCUAUGGUAUAUUCGACUUCUCUAUACACUACAAGUCCGGAUAGUUCAUCCGGAAAACAUCUUAGAAGUCUCGGACUACUGGAAUCUCUUGAAUACAAAUCUCUUUCUUGUGUUUGCCUAGUUAGAGAAAACAGGAGGGUUAAAGUACUCGAUAAUAAGAAAAUUUACCGUGAGGGAAUAAAUGCUAAAUGAUUUUUAUUAAUUUAUAAAUAGCUCCUCAUUAGGAGGAUUAAAUACAACCUUCUUGAUAAAAUAAUCUAGGGUGGCGUGAUAUGCUGCUAGCCAGUUCAUUCCUAGAAUUACAUCAAAGUCUCCCAUGUCAAAUUCUAUUAGGUCCACACUCAAUUUCCAAUCUGCUAUAUCUAUGAUACAGGCUCUGUAUACAACUUCUCUCAAUAGUGUCAUACUCCCAAUAGUAGACACAAACAACACAAAAUCAAGUUUAUCAGGUAAUACAUUAAGUUUUGAUGUAAAAAUAGGUGAAACAAAUGAAUGCGAUGCACCAGUAUCAAUUAAAACAUGAACAAGAUGGUUACAGAUAGUGUACGUACCCUGUACCACAUCCAAGUUGGCUUCUACAUCCUGUUGGGUAAGAUUUUAUGCUCUGCUCUGGAUAGGAGGUCUGGCUUAAUUCUGGUUCCUCGGGCACUCCCUUGCAUAAUAUUGGGCACUACCAUAUAUGCAACAGGUAUUGUUUAGGCAAUAGCAGGGUCAGUUCCCAUGAUCCCUGCCACUAGAGCCUGAGGGAGAGCCUAGAUCAUCGGCCUAAGCCUCUUGUUCUGUUAAACAUACACAGUAGGUGCUGGUCUGCAGGGUGGAGCUAAGGGUCUAAGGUUCCCUGCUUCCUGAGAGAAGGUGCGAAAGCUCCUCUCCACUAAUUGUGCCUUGGCCAGAAUAACCGAAUAGGUCUUGAGCUCCAGCACAAACAACUACUGUCUGCUAUUUAGGCGAAGACCCCAUUCGAACCUUCUAGCCUUCCUGCCUUCACCUACCUAUGUCUAAGGGGAAUAUCGGCCCAACUCUAGAAACUUGCGAGCAUAUUUUGACACAGUUAUGUUCCUCUGGACCAACUGUACAAACUCCAUCUCCUUCAAAUGUCGGAGAUGCUCUGGAAGGUACUCUGCCUGAAAGGCUGCCAGGAACUAUUCCCAAGUAACUGGAACAGGCAGGGUAGUCUGUUUGAGUUCCCACCAAUGACCUGUUUCUCCCACUAGCAUGUAGGUGGUAAGGGUGACUUUCUGCUCGGGAGUCAUUCCCAAGGUCUUAAAGGCCUUCUCUAUCUCUUCUAACCAGUACUCGUCAUCUUCAAAAGUGGAUCCCCCUGCAAAAGUAGAUGGAUUUAAUCUUUUAUACCUCUCUAAGUAGUUUGGGUUCAUCAUGGGAGGAGUUGGGUCCCUUGGAAGAGGGACUGGGCCAUGCUGAGGAUGGGCUGGGUGGCCUUGUGGUGGUACUUGCUGAUAUAGUGGGGGCACUGAAUUGUACUGUGGUGGUGCCGGGUGGUACUGUGGCUAGGGCACUAGAUCAUACUGUGGUGGCGUCAGAUGGUACUGUGGAGGAAUAGGGUCGUACCGGGGUGGCUCGGGAUCCUCUCGCUGCAGGGGUGGCUCAACUUGUGGCGUAGGAGAGGGUCAAGUAGCUCCCUCCUUUCUUCAUGGCCAUGCUGGGCGACAAUGAGUCUCUCCAGCAUCUCAAAUAUCCGGUCAACAUCUUCUCUAAGCGAACCAUCCUGGGCUGCUCGAUUUAGUGGGGGUCUUCCUCCCCUUAUCUAUUUGUACUUGCAUUUCACAAGGGAAGGUUGAGUGAUGAUCUAUUGUUUUGUUGUUCCCUAAGGUAUUUAUGUAAGGAAUGGGUCCGAGGAAUGCGGCUCUACCAACUGUAACGACUCCGAAAAUAUCUAAAGAAAAUAAAAGAUAAUUAAAGUACGAAAGCGUAAUAAAUGUUCGGGGUUUACAUUCCUUACACAAAUAACUGAAAGUACGAAAGAGUGUUACAGAAUUCACCCUUUUGAAAGAAACACAAGAAAUAAAGAAAUAAACAGAAAAUAAAGAAAUCUAGCAUCUACUCGCAAUCCUCUUACGGAUCGGGCUUUGGAACCUAGUCAUCUUGAUCUGAAAUGGUUAAAUAAGGGAUAAGCUAUACUAGCCCAGUAAGAUAUCACACUAUAUCACUGACACAGAAGUAAAUGUUAAUAGAAAAUAAAAAAAAAACACUAGUGGAGCACUAAAUUUAGCAAACUCAUUUAUUAAUUAUAAAAAUUAUUUACUGUUCAUUUAUCGUAGUAGGAUUUAUAAAAACGAUUUAUACAGACAAUAAUAUUAUACAUAUCAUGAUUUCAUGUAUAAUCAGCAAUCAUAGCACAUAUUAUAAAUCUAUAUCCAUCAUCAAUAAAUCAAACAAUAACUGUCACUCUUUUUACCAGCCUACUGGUAUCUAUAGUGGUUCAUAAGGAUGUCCCCGCUACACGUAAACACUUUCAUUUAACAUUCUCAAUUAUGAGCCACCCCUAUACCCCGUCUGGUAUGAGUGCCAAUUUACCAAACCUCAAUACCGCAUCCGCUAUGAGGAUGAAGCGGGUCGUCCCCAUAUCCUGUCUGGUAUGAGCGCCAAAUUAUCAAGUCUUCAUAUCCCGUCCGGUAUGAGACAACGUUCACGGUAGGGUUCCCUAUGUCCCCAGUCCGUCCACCAUCUCCUAGGAUAUCCAGUAAGGUUGUCGUUUCAUCUAUUCAUUUCAUCACACAAUUUUUACCGUUUAACAUUCAUUUUUCCAAAUUCAGCAAUAAACACAGAAUAAACCAUACAUGCAUUCAAAGCCAUAAAAUCAAUAAAUAAGUAACUAACAUGCAUUUGAAUUGUAAAAUAAUUUACAAAGCAACAGUAGAGAAUUUUUGGUUCUGGCUCCAUUAGCAAUCCAUAAUUAAUUAUGCACAUUUUUUAAAUUCACACAAAUAUUGUAUUAUUAUUUAUUUAGACUUCAGUUCUAUGAUAGAGAAUAGGGUGAGGGAUCCUUACUCGAUUUGAUGUCUAAAAAGCUAAGCUGUUCAACUGCGCCUACGGGCGAUUUUCGGGUUCCCUGAAUUUUUCUUUGGGAAUUGAAACGCACUAAUAGUACCUAUAAAUGUCCCAAACAAACCCAAAAUCAGUCUCAGGGCCCACUUGGCCAAUUUUGAAAUUCCGGCACGGCGGCUCCGCCAUGCUCCAGCGAUGGCCCACCACUUGCGAUGACGAUCUGCAUCGAGUCGGCUGUUUUCAGCUGUUUUUGGCAAAAUUCGACUGAUUCUGCAUCGAUCCCUACGAAAAAACAUGUUAAAAGACCUCGGUUUGGUGAGAAAAUAAAAAAAAAACAAAAACUCGCCAACGGCGGGGGUCUCCGGUGUGGUAGCUCCUCCGGCUCACGUUGUGGUUGGGUGUUUUGCUCUAGUCAACCUGCAGAGAAGGACACAAUGAUCACAACGGUGGAAAACUUACACAGAACGAGAAAUAGGAAAGGCCUCAUCGGAGGCAUUUAUUGAAAUUUCCUGCGACGGUGCCGCCGGGCUUCGCGGCAUUUUUUGGCCAAUUGGCCGGUCUUUUUGCUCCAAUUUGGCCAUGGGUGUGCUUAAAAUUGAAUUUCGAGCAAAAAAAAAAUUUACCUUUUUUGGCGAUCGAAAAAAGGUCCGAAGCAGCCGCGGGUAGUGGCGGUCUCCUUCUUGGCAGCCAGGUCUUCUUCUCCGCCGAGGGGUUCUAGCAGCUAGGGUUAGGAUUUGGUGCGAAUGGGGGUUAUGUAUAUCCAUCCACUUUUGAUCUUGCCAGUCCAUCGAGUUUAAUUUGGACCGCCCGAUAACGAUUAAAUAGGGAGUGAAUCUGGGUCGUUCAUCGCGAUCCAAUCUGGGCUGUCCAUCGCGAUCUAAUCUUGGCCUUCUGAUUGCAUUCAGAUCUGGCCAUCUGAUCGUAUUUGGUGAGGAAAUGCAUUUAAGCCGUCCGUGUGCACAGGAAUGGAUUUGGGUCGUUCGAUCGCGGGCACGUGGAUCGACCGCGUGGCCUCCUGCAUGGCACCGCAUCAGCAUCUGCUAUCACGCAAUGCGUCUUGAUUGAUUAAAGUUGUUGACCGGGCGUCCCACGUGGCAGAACUUUUCUAAAUUGUAGUUUGAUCCCUGGUUUUCGAUUCUUCUUUCAAAAAUGCCCCUAGAACUCAAAUUUUUACCCCUUUUUUCCAAAAUUAUUUUUAAUUUCAUCCUCCUUUAAUUUUUAUUUCAUUUUUACCCUAAAUUAAAUUAAAAAUAAAUUAAAAAUUUAUAUUUAUUAAUUUUAAAUUACAUAAAAUUUUAUUUUGGGGUGUUACAUAAGCCCUAAACGCAAAAAUUCUAUUCAUUUAGGUCCCUUGCGAGUUUUUAAAAUUGAAAAAUAGUUCAAAAUGACAUAUAGAGCACAGGGUGGAUAUUGAGCACGUAUUUUUGCUCCAACAUCCCCUACUAAGGAAAGAUAAACUUAUAUCCGUUUGACAUCUUUACCAGUCAUUUAUACCAUGACUAAAAGUUUUUACUUGCUGCUCGCUCCAAUUAUUUGUAAACAUAUGUUUCUCAUAACAUAUUCAAAUAAAUAACUAAAACUUAAUUAGAAAAUCUUAAGUACAAAUUAAAACACAAUGUAUUUUAAGAUAACGUAAAAAAAAAUACUCUACUCAAUAACAAAUAUAAAAUAAAUACUACAAAAAAUAAAAAUUAAACAUUUAAAUAAUUAGAAAAUUAAAUAAUUUUAAUUCUAAUAAAUUGUUCAAUUUUAAAUAUAAGAAUAUAGAUAUGAAAUAUUUAAACUAUUCAUUCAUUUCCUCAAUUAAUCGUAUACAUAUGUCAUUUAAUUUGAGGUGGGUUAGGUAGGGAUAUGACAUAAUGUCAUUUGAUUCAGACUCACUCCACACUUGUUUUGGGUUUAUAACUUCCUAUAUGUAUCCGUCUUGUAACCAUUAAUUAUAGGUUUUCACUAGACGACCUUAAUUAUUCUAAGUUCAUAAGCAUAUACUUAUAUACCUUCAAUUGUUAAUAAUUGUCAGACAUCUAGUCAGUUUGUAAUAUUAGUAUCAUCUAUAUAUCUUGAUGACCAUUCAUUACGAGUAGAAAAUCUGUAACAAUUUUUUUCCCCAUUAAAUGUUUUAAAAAAUAAAAUAUAUUCUCACUUUUUAAAGAUAUAUGCGUUGCAUUAACAUUUAAAAUACAAGUACCAAUUUGAAUUAUAAAACCUGAGGAGAUUUUUUACCAAAAAAAGAAUAAAUUCUUCUUUAUGUAUGGAUGUAAUAACACUUUAAAUUAGGUUAUUAGAUAGGUUAAUAACAUUUUAUCUUUUAUACCUAUAUAAAGGGGGCCUCGUCUUCUUGCCCACAAACCCCUUGACAAACAAGGUGAAGAUUACUAGUAAUAGGUCGUUCCUAAUUCUUUUACUCUCAAUCAAAGAUGUCUCUGUCUCCAUCUCAACAAGAAUUUCACGAUACGCUUUCUAAAAUUGAAAGUGAAAUCGGCACUGGCAACGUUGUUACAGAAGUUAACGAGGUAUAAGUUUCUCUGACGAAACUCCCUUACACUUUCAUAGUUUUUCGAUUUGAUUCAUUCCCCUUAUGAUUAAUUAAUCAUUUUCUCCUUUUAAUACAUGAAUUGGUCGAUGUGGUUGGUCUAAAGAGAUCAUGCCUUAGGGUUUAAUUAAACUUCAAAUUCCCUUUGUUUGAUAAAUUCUCUUUGAUUUUCCUAUAAUUUUCCUACUCCAUUAACUUCUUGUUAAGUUGAUUAUGUGGUAAUUCCUUUAUGGUUAAGAAUUGGGCAGUUUGAAUUGACCAAACCAACCUGAGCCAAUUCUCUAAAACUCGCCCUAGUUAUUUCGCCCAAAAGAUCCAAGGCAUGUAGGAUCUUAAUAUCUAUCUAUUUUUAUCUUAAAGCACGUCGAGACGUCUUCUGUUGUGAUAUUAAAAGCUCAUCUAAACUCCAAAUAGUCAUAUAUAAUAUAUUUUUAAUUUUAAUAAGAAAUGUAAUAUAUAUGUUAAUUUGGUGCAUAUACAAUAUUUUAUGUUAAUUAAAUAUAUAUAUUUUUUACUUUACUUAUGUAUGAUCCAUAUUGAGUCUAGUUUAGUUUUAUCAAUAACCCAAUUAGGCCAAAAAUAAAAUUAAUUUUUAAAACUUACUUCGACUUGUUUGGGUUUACAAUUCUUUUAAAAUUAGAUUAGGUUCGAAUUUUGCGAAAUUCGCCCCAAACUCGAUCUAUUGCAGUCCUUAUUUCUGUUUUUGUCUUGAAUAAAAUUAUGGACAAAUUAGAAUUUCGAAAUCCAUAGCAUGACCCAACUAUAAUUCAAAACUAUUGUAAUUCCUUUUAUAACUGUUUCAUUUCUCUAUUGAUCGUGCAUUAUUUUAUAUAAAAUAAUUAGUUUCUUAGGUUUUUAUACUUUAUUUUUCCCUAAUUUUGAUUUAUUUAACAUUAAAAUUUCAUGUAUUCUGGUUUAGAGGACCAAACACAAAAAAAAUUCUUAUUAGAAUAUAUAUGAUUUGAAUUACAACAAGACUAGAUCACAAUGGUUAAAAAUAUAAUUUGCUUUAAAACUAUUUAUGAAGAUCUAUAACCAAGAUCUUUAAUUUGCUUCUAUUACUUUUCAUAUGUCUCUAUAUCAUUCAUUGCAUUUUAUAUUUAAAUGAUUUCUCAUCUUUACUUGAUUUUUCCUAUUUUUGUUUGAAUGAGUUUUGUUUUGACAUAAUCUUACUAAUGAUGUUACCUUUGUCCUAACCAAUAAGCCUUGCCACAAGGUGUGUCUUUAACUUUCUUCUCACCCAAGAUUGCAAACUAGUUUGUCAUUUUGGAAUAAUUAUGCCUCUUAAUAUAGAGACAGAAAAUGGGAUUACAAACUUCACUUGAACAGUCAUGUUAUUACAAGUCUUAAGUUGUUAAGGAAUUUCUCCAAGAGACAUUAAAAUUCAUAUGUACUUUCACUAUAAGGUUUAAAAACUAAAUGUUAACAUAGGUUACAUUUAAUAGAGUAAUAUAAUAACUAAAAUCUUUUGAAAAAAAUAGCUCUAUAUUCAUAUUGUUUCGAUCUAAACGCAUUACAAGUGAUCUAAAUAGAAAGAGAAGCUAGCAGAUAGAGGUACAAAGAACAUUGCAAGUGAAGAGGCUGUUGAUGAUCAUCAACCUUUGAAGCAUGAUUUUGAUCUAAAUGCAUUACCCCCAGAAGCAACAAAUGAAGAAGAGGUGAGUUGUUAUAUUUCAUUUCACUAACAAACAACAGUGAUUCACAUAACACUAAGAGAAGUCUCUCCUUCAGGUUGACGUUUUUUCUCCUUUAAAACAAUUAAGCUUUAAUUAUAUUUUAUCUACUUUUCGCAUUAUAUUUAAUUCACUUCUAUUGUAUUAAUAUUCAAUUUCUCUAUCAGUAUUAAAAUUUUGUCAUGAUUUUACAUGUUUUGCUCAUAAUUUUAACAAUAAAGUAGAACUUUUCACAAUUUUUAUUGGAUGAAUUUAUAGCAAAUUUAGUUUUAGUAUUUUAUGAGGUGAAUUCAUUUAAUGAGUCAUUAAUUUAAAGAAAGAAAAAGAAUUCUUAAUUUAUGUUUCACCUAGUAAGUCCCUUUACUAAUUAUUAAAAGUUGUAUAAUUAAUUAGGUUAAGUUUUAAACUUGUAGGUGCAGGAGGUUGGUAAUAAAGUGGUUCUUCAACCUGUGGAAGAAGAAUUACAUCCUAUAGUGCAGGAGGUUGAUAACUAAGUGGCUGUUCAACCUGUGGAAGAAGAAUUACAUCCUAUAGUGCAGGAGUUUGGUAACGAAAUGGCUGCUUAGAAUUAGUUGCCAAUCAAAUUAUUUACAAUAAUUACACAAUUAAAUAAUUACUAAAUUAAUUCCUCUAAUAUGUUUUGGGUUGUCAUAUUUAAAAUAUGUGGUUUAUCUUAGAUUGUUUCAAUGUUUUUAGUUUAAAUAUUAAGUCAUGCUAUGAGAUAUCAAGUUUAAAGGAUCUAAAUCAUCUCAUUCUUAUUACUUCUCAGCUUCGACAUGAAUGGCCUUGAAUUUUUAUAUUUUAUUACGUGAUAGUUUUAUCUAUUAUUUAGUAUGCCUAAACAGUAUUGUAGUUAUUAGGACUUGAACCACACAGUAAAAUUUAGAGUCCCAAAUCUAUCGUUUUAUUUUUAUUUUAAUAAUUAUUCUACUUUUAAUUUAUAUUAUCUCAUUUUAAAUGAAAUAAUUCUAUUUUUAUUAUAAUAAAAGAGAUAUAUAUUUCAAAAUUCUUUGUGUUAUUCAAGAUUGCUCAAAUUGGCUCAUGUAACAUUUUUAUGUUAAUGUACAAUCUAUACUUCUAAAUUUUGUUCAAAUAGGCACUUAUUACCAACAUUGUGUCUAACACUAUUAGACAAAUACUCACGUGACAAAGAAUGUGUUACAUGAGCUUCAGACUUUGAAAACAUUGCUAUCAUGGAAGACAUGUGUCCAACAAACUAGUAACCACUUACACGUUAUUAACUAUCAAACGAAAAAUAAGCUAUUAAAAUAUCGUACGGAAUUGAAAAUAAUGGUUUGAUUUCUAAUGAAUAAAGGUGAUGUGUAUAUAGAUGUAUAAUCAUAAUAAACAACUAGUCAAAUAUUUUAAUUAUAAUAAAUCACCUGCUUCGUAGUGUAGACUAAUUAUUUAAAUAUAAUUUACAUAUGUAUUUUAAGAAUAUAAUUGUUAGACGAGUAUUUGAUUAUGACAUUCAUUUAAAUGAAAAAAAUUAAUAGUUAAUGUUCACAACAUGAAUGAUAAUCAAUGCAACAUGUUCCAUCUAUGAAUGAAAGGCAAUAUUGGAAUAAAGAUGAGUUGCAUCAAUAUUAUCACAAUAGAUAACUAGAGUAGCAGGAAUAUAAAUGUCAAACUCAGUUAGAAGAGAAGAAAUCUAACGUAACUCAAUAAUUGUAGCAACAACAUAACGAUAUUCAGCUUCAGUGAAGGAUCUCGCAACCGUGCAUUAUUUUUUGGUGGACUAGGAUAUUAAAGAAAUUAAUUUAGUAAUUAUUUAAUUACAUAAAUUAAAUGUGCGAAUUGGGAUAGAAAAACUUGUAGAACCAGUAUGGAUAAUGUGAAGACCCAAGCCAUUACAUCAUCAAACACUACAUAAGGAGAGUGAAGUGAAAAAUUAUUCAAGUCUGCAGUGAUAUGGUAUAAUGCUCCAUUUUUAAGUAGCCUGGAGAAACAAGACAUGUUGCCAAUGGAGCCAAUGAUGAUUUAGUAUUUUUAAUGAUGCUAUGACUAGUGAAAGAUGUAGAGAUGUCUUCAAAAGCCAUUAUUGUUGAUAAAGAAUGUAGGGAAUUGAGAGAGAGAAAAAGGAGAAUAAAAGGAACAUAUCAGGAGUGUGGUAGCUCUGAUACCAUAUGGAAUUGAAAAUAAUAGUUUGAUUUCCAAUUAAUAAAGGUGAUGUAUAUAUGAAUGUGUAAUGAUAAUCAAUGGCUAGUCAAAUAUUUAAAUCUUAAUAAAUCACCUUAUUUUUGGAAUUUAUUUUUAAUCACCUAAUUUGUAGAAUUUACUGCCAAUUAAAUUAUUUAUAAUAAUUGCACAAUUAAAUAAUUACAAAAUUAAUUCUUCUAAUAAGUUUUGGGUUGUCAUAUUUAAUAUAGGUUAUUUAUCUUUGAUUGUUUCAAUGUUUUUAAAAAGCUUGAUGUUUGGACAAUUCAUAUUAGACUUUCUACAAUAAAAAAUUUUAAAUUCUAAAGAGAUUUAAAAUUUUAAAUCUAAUAUAAAACUAAAAUAGUAGAACUUAAAAUACAAAAACAAUUAAAAUUCAAUUAUAAGCAAAGUUUUGAAAAAGCACCUAGAAAAUGGAAGAAUAUAUUAAUAAAUGGAUUAUAAUUUUAUGUAUGGAAUAUAUAUUUUGCUUAAUUUUAUUCGUUUUUUUUAGUACGCUAGUAGGAUACACAGUGAAUCACCUAUAAAGGAUCUAAAUCGUAUAAAUUUUAUUAAUUCUCAACUUUGAUUAAAUGGCCUUGAAUUUUUAUAUUUUAUUACAUGUUAGCUUUAUCUUUUAUUUAGUUUCCCCAAACAGUAUUGUAGUCAUCAGGACAUGAACUACACAAUAACAUUUAUAUUUAUAUUUUUAAUUUAUAUUAUCUCAUUUUAAAUGAAAUAUUUCUAUUUGUAUUAUAAUAAAAGCGAUAUAUAUUUUAAAAUUCUUUGUAUUAUUCAAGCUAGCUCAAAUUGGCACAUGUAAUAUUUUUAUGUUAAUGUACAAUCUAUACUUCUAAAUUUUGUUCAAAUAGGUAUUAAUUACUAACAUUGUAUCUAACACUAUUAGACAAAUAAUCAAGUGGUAAAGAAUGUGUUUACAUGAGCAUCAUACUUUGAAAAUAUUACUAUCAUGACAGACAUGUGUCCAACACACUAGCAACCACUUACCCCUUUUUAACUAUCUAACAACAAAAAAGCUAUUAAAAUAAAAAAAAAAUUCUAGGCACUUUUUAAUUUUUUUAUGACAUUGUUUGAAAUCUAAGUUAUAACAAAUAAGCUUAGCUUAUUCUACUUAAAAAAACAUAUCUUAUUAAGGAGUGAUAUUACUAAUUUAUUCCUUAGUUUUUAGUUUAUUUAGAAAAGGGUGUCAUUAUGCAUUAUAGAUUAUUUCUCUGAAAAUCAUUCUCAAGAAAAACCCUUUUAUAACAAGUUGCAGUGCCUAGUUCAUCCUCACAAUGGCUCUUAAUCACUGCUAAGCGUUACAAGAGUUGUCAUUCGUGUUUUGGCUAAGAUCUGACAUCUCUUGAAACCAUACAACAACUUUAUUUCUGUGGAAAAUAUCAAGUAAAGGAGAAAAAAAUUUAAGCUGAGAAAUAAAGAAUACUCUAUAAGAAAUAGAGAUUGAUGAUAUGAAAAUUGCUUACAUUUUGUCACAACUAAAGUUUAUUUAUACACAUACAACCAGAAAUAGAUAAAGAUAGAGACUAGAAAUCUAUAAUCGAUUCUGUGCACUAAUUUGAAAUUAAUAAAAUCCACAAGAUCUCUUAAAAUCUAGAUAGGAUAACCUCAAAGAACAAACCUUAACUAGCAAUUUUUAAUUAACUAUUACGCUUCGAAGAUUUAAAAGGCAAACCUAAGAAGAAUAUAAGAUAUUUAGACAAUUGAAGAAACUGCAUCAAUUAUCAAUAACAUCAACGAUUACACUACCAUUUGUCAACCACCAACCAGCAUGUCUUCCACCUAUAUAGUAGUUAUUUUAACUUGUCCAAUAGUUAUUCUUAAGUAUGUAAACCAUCAUUAUAAUCUUCUAUUUAAACUCUUGCAACUCAAUGAAAAAGACAUGUGUGUUUUUGUUUUCAAAAUCAAGGUUAUUUUUGCCUUAAAGAGAAAUUGUCAUUUAAUUAAUUAAAGUUCUGACUGGGACCAUAACAAUUAGUAUUAGAGUCAUGUCUACAAUAAGAAAGGAUAGAAAACCUAGAAUUUAACAUGGGUGACGUACUAGAUAGCUUAAACAAAAUGUAGGUCAUCUUCACCGAUAAAUUUUAACAGUUUGAAGAUUCCAUCCGAUAAAUUGCUAACAUAUUAGUGUUGAACAGAGAGGGAUCAAGUAGCCAUAAUAUUGGUCACCUAGGCAAACAGCGAGCGCUCAAUGUUAUAACUAUAAAGGAUCCUUUUCUGAUCCUUACUGUUGAUGAUAUGUUGGAUGAACUACAUGGAGCUAUUUUUCUUUUUACUAAAUUAGAUUUGAAAGCAGGAUAUCAUCAAGUUGGAGUUCAUGCUGCUAAUGUGCACAAAACUACUUUUCGUACUCAUAAACAACAUUAUGAGUAUUUGGUGAUGCCUUUUGGCUUGUACAAUGCCCCUUCUACCUUUCAAGCAAUGAUGAAUUCCAUAUUCCAUAUCCAUCUUCGUAAGUUUGUGCUAGUUUUCUUUAAUGAUAUAUUAAUAUACAGUCAACCUUGUACUCUGCACCUUGAUCAUGUCCAACAGGUCUUUGAAAUUUUGAGACUAUAUUGUUUUUCUGUCAAACUCAAAAAGUGUGCCUUCGGGCAAUAGGAGCUUGAAUAUUUGGGUCAUAUUAUUACACUGAAUGGCGUUAAAAUUGACCAGAAUAAAAUCAAGGCCAUGCUUGAUUGGCCUAAGCCCACCAUUAUAACAGAAUUGAGAGGUUUCUUGGGAUUUACUGGAUACUAUAGAAAAUUUAUUCAAAAUUAUGGCAUUCUAGCUCGACCACUCACCAAUUUGUUAAAGAAAUGGCAAUUUACUUAGUCAGGUGAAGCAGAAUAAGCUUUUCUCAACCUCAAAUAGGCCUUAAUAUCAACUCAGAGUCUUGCAUUACCUAACUUUAAGGAAAAUUUUGUGGUGGAAACAAAUGCUUCAAGGGAUGGUAUUGGAGUUAUCUUGAUGCAGAAUGACCAACCUAAAGCUUAUAUGAGUCAACCUUUAGGAGUCAACAAAUAGGCUUGAUCUACUUAUGCUAAAAAAAUGCUAGCAGUUAUCAUGGCAGUUAACUCUACAGUCCUUAUUUGAUGGGUUAAAAAUUUUUCAUCAUAACUGAUAAGAGAAGCCUCAAAUAUCUUUUGGAUCAAUGUAUCACCACUCCUAAACAAUAGAAAUGGGACUUUAAAUUAUUUGGAUAUGACUAUGAAAUCAUCUAUAAACCUGGGAAGGAAAACUCUGCUGAUGAUGCACUUUUACGAAAAUCAGGUAGUCCUACAUUUAAUACUAUUUUAACUCAUAAGCUUCUGUUAUGGGAUAAUCUUUAGGUAUUUUAUCCUUAGAAUCCUUUUAUGAAGAAAAUUAUCAAGUUAGCAUCAGAUUCACCUGAUAGUCCUUAUACUUGGAAAGAUAGCCUUGUAUACUUCAAGAAUCGUGUGGUUAUUCGACUAAGUUCUAACAUAACUCAUCAAUUAUUACAAGGGUUUCAUAAUUCACCGAUUGAUGGUCAUUUAGGAAUUCAGAGAACAUUCAAGCAACUUGCUUAAUAACUUUAUUGGCCUUUGAUGCAUAAAUUUGUAACUGAAUAUGUCUCCUCCUGUGAUAUCUGUUAAUGGGUUAAUGCUGAUCCCCUUUCACUUGCUGUAUUGCAACCCUUGUCUAUCCCAUGUCAAGUGUGGGAAGAAAUUUCAAUGGAUUUCAUUGAAAGCUUACCUAUUUCUAAUGGUAAUAGUGUUAUUUUUGUGGUGGCCGACCAUCUCAAUAAGUCAGCUCACUUUAUGGCUUUCGCUCAUCCAUAUACCAAGACAAUGGCAAAACAAUUUAUGUAUAAUGUGGUUAAACUCCAUGGACCCUAAUCAACUGUUAGUGACCAAGAUCCCAUUUUUAUCAAUCGCUUGUAGCAGGAAUUCUUUAAAUUAUCUGGCACUUAGCUCAAAACCAGUUAUGCAUAUCAUCUUCAAACUAAUGGUCAAUCAAAAGUCAACCAAUGCAUUGAAUAAUAUCUUUACUACUUUGGUCACCAACAUCCUCGUCGAUGGAGCUCUUUACUUUCUUAGGCUGAAUUCUGGUACAACACCACUUAUCACUCUUCUAUUAAGAUGACGCCUUUUCAGGCCCUAUAUGGACGACUUCCACCCACUAUUCCACAUUUUCAUCCAGGCACAUCUCCUGUUAAUGAGGUUGACCAGUGACUUAUUUCUCAAGAUGAACUACUUCACCAGCUCAAGCUUAAUUUCCAAACUGUUUCCAACCACAUGCAAUAAGUUGUGAAUGUUAAGCGUUGUGACAUUGAAUUUUAGGAAGGUGAUUAGGUAUUCCUUAAACUACAACCUUAUUGUCAACAACAUAUUUUUAAAAGGGCUUUUCCAAAACUCGCAUGUCGCUAUAAUGGUCCUUACCAAAUUGUUGAAAGAAUUUACCUACACAUUCACGGAUUCAUUCGGUCUUCUAUUUCUCCCUCCUAUAUAAGAAAUUGAGCAUGUCCGACUCUCUGACUGAAGAACUACCCUUAAUUAAUGAUACUAGGGAUAUCAUUGUACAACCUUAGUUUAUCCUGUACAUUUCUUCGAUUAAGAAAGGCUCAUGUUUCAUGGAAGAAAGCCUAGUUAAAUGGAAGCAUCUACUUGAAGAAGAGGCUACUUGGGAGAGUACCACAGAAUUACCUGAUAAUUUUUCUACUUUGAACCUUGAGGACAAGGUUCAUUUAGGCAGGAGAGAUCUUGGAUCGUCCGAUCGCACUUCCGGCUGAAAGUGUUUCUCACAGUGCAAUCGGAUGGGAAUUCCCUCUGGUUGUCCAAUCACCCCUAAUAUGCACAAUGUUACCUUCGCCGUGUCCGUUUGUCUGCAACAUGGCACACACAGAUUGGUGCCCCGAACACAUGAGCUCCCUGCAUGUCCCAUUAUAACAUAAAUUGAAUAUAAACUGUAACGAUCCCUAAAAUAUCCAAAGGAAAUAAAAGAUAAUUAAAGUGCGGAAGCGUAAUAAAUGUUUAGGGUUUACAUUCCUUACACAAAUAAUUGAAAGUACUAAACAGUGUUACGAAAUUCACCCUUUUGAAAGAACCACAAGAAAUAAAGGAAUAAAUAAAAAAUAAAGAAAUCUAGCAUCUACUCGUAAUCCUCUUGCAGAUCGGGCUCUGGAACCUAGUCCUCUUGAUCUGAAAUAGUUAAAUAAGGGAUGAGUUACACUACCCCAGUAGGGAUAUCACACUAUAUUACCGACACAGAAGUAAAGGUUAGUAUAAAAUCAAAAAAACACUAAUGGAGCACUAAAUUUAGCAAACUCAUUUAUUAAUUAUAAAAAUCAUUUACCGUUCACUUACCAUAGUGAGAUUUAUAAAAAUGAUCUAUACAAACAAUAAUAUUAUAUAGAUCAUGAUUCCAUGUAUAAUCAGUAAUCAUAACACAUAUUAUAAAUCUUUAUCCAUCAUUAAUAAAUCAAACAAUAACUGUCACUUUUUUUACCAGCCUGCUGGCAUCCAUGGGAGCUCAUAAAGAUGUCCCUGCUACACGUGAACACUUUCAUUUAACAUUCUUAAUUACGGACCGUCCCCAUAUCUCGUCGGGUAUGAGCACCAAUUUACCAAACCUCAAUACCCCAUCUGGUAUGAGAGUGAAGCGGGCCAUCCCAAUACCCCGUCCAGUAUGAGCACCAAAUUAUCAAGUCUCUAUACCCCGUCUAGUAUGAGAUAACAUUCAUGGUAGGGUUCCCUAUGUUCCCGGUCCGUUCACUAUCUCCAAGGAUAUCCAGUGAGGCUACAAUUUUAUCUAUUCAUUUCAUCACACACUUUUUACCGUUUAACCUUCAUUUUUCCCGAUUCAGCAGUAAACACAUAGAAUAAACCAUACAUGCACUCAAAGCUAUAAAAUAAAUAAAUAAGGUACUAACAUGCAUUUGAACUGUAAAAUAAUCAACAAAAUAAUAGUAGAGAAUUUCCGGUUCUGGCUCCAUUAGCAAUCUGUAAUUAAUUAUGCACAUUUUCUAAAUUCAAACAAAUAUUGUAUUAUUAUUUAUUUAGACUUCAGUUCUAUGAUAGGGAAUAGGGUGAGGGAUCCUUACUCGAUUUGAUGUCCGAAAAGCUAAGCUAUUCGACUGCGCCUACGGGCGAUUCUCGGGUUCCCUGAAUUUUUCUUCAGGAAUUGAAACGCUCUAAUAGUACCUAUAAAUGUUCCAAACAAACCCAAACUCAAUCCCAGGGCACAUGUGGCCAGUUUUGGAAUUCCAGCAUGGCGACUCCGCCAUGCUCCAGCGACAGCACUGCCGCUCGAGGUGGCGGUCUGCCUCGGGUCAGCUAUUUUUGGCCGAUUCUGCAACGAUCCCUGUAAGAAAACACGUUAAAGGGUCUCAGUUGGCCGAAAAAAUGUAAAAAACCAAAACUCACCACCAGCAGGUAUGAGCACUAAUUUACCAAACCUCAAUACCCCAUCCGGUAUGAGGGUGAAGCGGGCCAUCCCCAUACCCCGUCUAGUAUGAGCGCCAAAUUAUCAAGUCUCCAUACCCCGUCUAGUAUGAGAUAACGUUCAUGGUAGGGUUCCCUAUGUUCCCGGUUCGUCCACUAUCUCCCAGGACAUCCAUUAAGGCUACCAUUUUAUCUAUUCACUUCAUCACACAAUUUUUACCGUUUAACCUUCAUUUUUUCCGAUUCAGUAGUAAACACAUAGAAUAAACUAUACAUGCAUUUAAAGCUAUAAAAUCAAUAAAUAAGGUACUAAAAUGCAUUUGAACUGUAAAACAAUCAACAAAGUAAUAGUAGAGAAUUUCCGGUUCUAGCUCCAUUAGCAAUCUGUAAUUAAUUAUGCACAUUUUCUAAAUUCAAACAAAUAUUGUAUUACUAUUUAUUUAGACUUCAGUUCUAUGAUAGGGAAUAGGGUGAGGGAUCCUUACUCGAUUUGAUGUCCGAAAAGCUAAGCUGUUCGACUGCGCCUACGGGCGAUUCUCGGGUUCCCUGAAUUUUUCUUCAAAAAAUGAAACGCUCUAAUAGUACCUACAAAUGUCCCAAACAAACCCAAAAUCAAUCCCAAAGUGCAUUUGGCAAAUUUUGGAAUUCCAGCAUGGCGACUCCACCAUGCUCCAAUGACGGCGCUACCGCUCGCAGUGGCGGUUCGCCUCGGGUCAGCUAUUUUCGGCCGAUUCUGCAACGAUCCCUGUAAGAAAAUACGUUAAAGGGUCUCAGUUGGCCGAAAAAAUGUAAAAAACCAAAACACACCACCAGUGGGUAUGAACACCAAUUUACCAAACCUCAAUACCCCAUCCGGUAUGAGGGUGAAGCGGACCAUCCCCAUACCCCGUCCAGUAUGAGUGCCAAAUUAUCAAGUCUCCAUACCCCAUCUAGUAUGAGAUAACGUUCAUAGUAGGGUUCCCUAUGUUCCCGAUCCGUCUACUAUCUCCAAAGAUAUCCAGUAAGGCUACCAUUUUAUCUAUUCAUUUCAUCACACAAUUUUUACCGUUUAACCUUCAUUUCUUUUGAUUUAGCAGUAAACACAUAGAAUAAACCAUACAUGCAUUCAAAGCUAUAAAAUCAAUAAAUAAGGUACUAACAUGCAUUUGAACUGUAAAAUAAUCAACAAAGUAAUAGUAGAAAAUUUUUGGUUCUAGAUCCAUUAGCAAUCUGUAAUUAAUUAUGCACAUUUUCUAAAUUCAAACAAAUAUUGUAUUAUUAUUUAUUUAGACUUCAGUUCUAUGAUAGGGAAUAGGGUGAGGGAUCCUUACUCGAUUUGAUGUCCGAAAAGCUAAGCUGUUCGACUGCGCCUACGGGCGAUUCUCGAGUUCCCUGAAUUUUUCUUCAAAAAUUGAAACGCUCUAAUAGUACCUACAAAUGUCCCAAACAAACCCAAAAUCAAUCCCAGAGCGCAUUUGACCAAUUUUGAAAUUUUAGCAUGGCCACUCUGCCAUGCUCCAGCGACGGCGCUGCCGCUCGCGGUGGCGGUCCGCCUCGGGUCAGCUAUUUUUGGCCGAAUUCAGCUGAUUCUGCAUUGAUCCCUGUAAGAAAACAUGUUAAAGGGCCUCAGUUGGCCAAAAAAAUGUAAAAAACCAAAACUCACCAGUGGUGGGGUUCUACGGUGCGGCAGCUCCUCCGGCUCACGUUGCGGUUGAGUGUUUUGCUCCAGUAAACCUGUAGAGAAGGACACGAUGAUCACAACGGUGGAAAAAUUAUAUAAAACGGGAAACAGGAAGGGCUUCAUCGGAGGCAUUUUGUGAAAUUUUCCACAGUAGUGCCGCUAGGCUUCACUAGCAUUUUUCGGCCAAUUAGUCAGUCUUUUUGCUCUGAUUUGGCCAUGGGUGUGCUUAAAAUUAAAUUUCAACCAAAAGAGAAAAUUUUUAUCUUUUUUGGCAGUCGGAAAAAGCUCUAGUGUGGCGGCGGGUGGCAACGGUCUCCUUCCCGACGGUCGGGUCUUCUUCUCUAGCGAGGGUUUCUAGUGGCUAAGGUUAGGGUUUGGUGCAAAUGGGGGUUAUUUAUAUUUGUCCGUUUUUUAUCUGGGCCAUCCAUCACGUUUGAUCUGAACCGUUCGAUCACGAUUAAAUAGGGAAUGAAUUUGUCUAAGAUUUUAAAUGGUCCAAUAAAUCGGGGAUUCAGUUUUCCCCUCUUGCCAAACCUACUAAUUCUCUUAAAAAGAGCGGCUUUAAGGAACACCCAAUUGCUUUUCUUAAAUUCUAAAUCCCUCCUCCGGGUAUCCGCGUAACUCUUCUGUUUGCUUAGAGCCAUCUGGGUGUUCUUUCUGAUCUUAACUCUUUUGGAUGUAGUCUCAUUUACCAGAUCUGGGCCGAAUAAUUUUCUAUCACCCACUUCUUCCUAACAAAUCGGUGAUUUGAAUGGGCGCCCAUAUAAUGCCUCAUACGGAGCCAUGCAAUACUCGUUUGGUAGCUGUUGUUGUAGGCGAACUCUAUCAGGGGUAGAUGGUCAUCCCAAUAGCCCCCAAAGUUAAGGACACAAGCUCAAAGCAUAUCCUCAAGUGUACGGAUUGUCCUUUCUGACUGUCCAUCGGUUUGAAGGUAGAAUGCAGUACUAAAGGACAAAUUCGUUCCCAUGGCUUGUUGAAAGCUAUACCAAAAUCGAGAAGUGAACUUGGGAUCCCUGUCGGACACUACUGUUACUAGCACUCCAUGUAAUCUGACUAUUUCCUGUAUAUACAUUCUUGCUAAUUUGUCUAAGGGAUCGGUCAUCCUGAUGACCAAGAAGUGAGAAGACUUGGUGAGCCAGUCGACAAUUAGCCAGAUGGCAUCAUGUCCUGAGCGUGCCUUAGGUAAUCCUAUCACGAAGUCCAUGGUGAUAUGUUCCCACUUCCACUCUGGGAUUGGUAAUGGCUGAAGUAGCCCACCUGGGGGUUGGUGCUCUGUCUUGACCUGCUGACAUACUAAACACUUAGAAAUAAAGUCAGUCAUAUCUUUUUACAUCCUGUUCCACCAAAAUCGAAGUCGUAUGCUUUGGUACAUCUUAAUGCUUUUGGGAUGCAUGGCGAACUUUGAGUUAUGGGCCUUUGUCAUAAUGUCCCUCUUUAACUCAUUGUCACUUGGAACACACACCCUGUCUUGGAAUCUGAGCAACCCAUCAGUAGAGACUCGAAAUUUUGAGUUAACUCCCUAUUCUGCAUCUUUUUUUAGGGCAGCUAUGGUGGAAUGGGUGGACUGAGCUUCCCUUAUUCUUUGGAUUAACUCAGGCUAAACAGUCAGAUGGCCCAAACAAAUGACUCUCCUCAAGUGCUAAAGUCGAACCUGUUGUGUGACCCCUAUUUCUCUACUUUCUAAAACCAUCAAAUGGGCUAAUGUACCUGCACUUUUCUUACUGAGUGCGUCGACUACCACUUUGCCCUUACCCGGGUGAUACAAGAUGUCGCAAUCAUAGUCCUUGAGAAGUUUAUCCAUCUU
Molecule: long non-coding RNA, 20811 nt
Filed under: Carica papaya (papaya)
Lineage: Eukaryota; Viridiplantae; Streptophyta; Magnoliopsida; Brassicales; Caricaceae
Description: long non-coding RNA (CPAP_LNC003396)
Source: RNAcentral